CCCUUAGAUGUUCUGGGCCGCACGCGCGCUACACUGAUGCAUUCAACGAGUUUCUUCCUGGUCCGAGAGGAAUGGGUAACCUUUUGAAAGUGCAUCGUGAUAGGGAUAGACUAUUGCAAUUAUUGGUCUUCAACGAGGAAUUCCUAGUAGACGUAGUUCAUCAGACUCCAUCGAUUACGUCCCUGCCCUUUGUACACACCGCCCGUCGCUCCUACCGAUUGAAUGCUCAGGUGAGCCAUUCGGACUUUCAUCAUGCUGGUUUCCAGUUUUGAUGAAGGAAAGUCUUGCGAACCUUAUCAUUUAGAGGAAGGAGAAGUCGUAACA
Molecule: ribosomal RNA, 324 nt
Filed under: uncultured eukaryote
Lineage: Eukaryota
Description: partial 18S ribosomal RNA
Rfam family: Eukaryotic small subunit ribosomal RNA
Source: RNAcentral